AGCAGCUUCUCAAACACGCUUUUCCUCCAUUCUCCUUCAUUUAAUUGUGAAACCCUCUUCAUUAUCUCCCUCCAAUCAAUCCAACCUACCAAAAUUAUUGAGAUCCUUUGUUUCUUCAUUUGAAUUUCAUCUAAAAAAACCCUAAUUGAUAUCUGCUCUGCCGUCUUCUACAUUGUCGACUUCUCAGUUUCAUCUCUGUCUCUUGAUUGUAUGUUCCGAUGAAAGCCCUGUAAGUCGUCUUUUGAAAGAAGCCAUCAUAAUCUUCCAUCAAGUUUUAUUCACAGGUCAAAACGGGUUAUAAACCGACUGACAUUCAUCCGCCUCACUUACACAAAACCUAACAGUUUGGCGAUUUAAAUUUCUGAUUUUGGCCGAUUAGAUUAUUCAAAACUUUGAAUCUAUGAUGACGGUGUUGUUGGAUGAUAUGGUUUUAGCUGAAGUGGCAUGGUUACAAAUCCUCAAGGAGCCUAAACUGUACGUUGAUCCGAAUCUUGAUUCGGUGCUCAUAGUGCCUGGGAUUGCUAAAUAACAUCUUAAUGCUAAAGAUGGUGAAACGGGGAAAGAAGAGAGAGUUUGGGUUCGGAUUUGGGAAGUUGAUCGUGAAUUUAGAGAUAAACUUUUGUGUAAAUUUGAUCCUGAAUCGGUUUGUUGGCACUCUGGAUCAAGAACAAUGGAAAAUAAGAAUUUUUUAAGAAACAAUAUGAAGUUGAUGUGAGAGUUGACGGGAAACCAACGAGCGUUUCACAAGAUGGCUAAUUAUAGGAUGACGGUGCCAAUACAUAUAUACAAGAUGCACGUUACAUCCGUGCCGAACAAGUGAUUGAAUGAAGCUACUUCUUGCCGGUUUUUGGAGAGGGAAGUGAUCACUCUGUUGGAUUUUGGGUUUGUACCGGUUAGGGUCGUUUAUUGUCUGUUUGGGACCUGUUUCAACCCUUAGACGUGAAGCCUAAGUUUGGAAAGGCCUAGAACAAAAGUGAUGAUCUACAUGGACUUCCUUCUCUUGACCUUUAUAUGACUAUCUCAAUGAUGAAGAUUGUGGGUCAAAAACAACCACCUUCUUGCUUAACGAUGUAGCCGUCUUCGCCAUGACGUCGAUUUUAACCAAUACAGAUUAUACAAGAAUCACAAAGUAUUCAAGAGCCACAGACAUGGGAAAUUAGUUGUGGAAGAUGUUCUCUUGCCAGCAGCUCCAUUCAGACUUGACCAUGGUUCCCCCUCUGUCCAGGCCACUCAUAAAAAAUGGGUGCAUCAUGUGUUGCUGGCACGAACCCGGACUGUUUAGAGUUUUUUAAUGAAUUGCGGUCGUUGCAUAUUCACGUAUUUCAAUUUGUUGUCGUAAUCUAAUCUAUCCGGUUGUCUUUUACUGUGUAUAAAAUCAUAAUAUUCAACCCCGAAAUUCGUGGGUU
Helianthus annuus (common sunflower) is the source of this 1406-nucleotide long non-coding RNA. RefSeq lists it as uncharacterized. The transcript is spliced from 5 exons. Lineage: Eukaryota; Viridiplantae; Streptophyta; Magnoliopsida; Asterales; Asteraceae. The record is from RefSeq and is a predicted model, not a curated record.